CUACGGGCGGCUGCAGUGAGGAAUAUUGGUCAAUGGGGGAAACCCUGAACCAGCGACGCCGCGUGUGGGAUGAAUGGGCUCUGCCCUGUAAACCACUGUUGAGAGGGAAGAAAAGCUUCUUAUGGAAGCCGGGACUGUACCUCUUCAGAAAGGAUCGGCUAACUACGUGCCAGCAGCCGCGGUAAUACGUAGGAUCCAAGCGUUGUCCGGAAUUACUGGGUGUAAAGGGUGCGUAGGCGGGCUUGUGCGUCAGGGGUUAAAUCCCACGGCUUAACCGUGGAGCUGCCCUUGAUACGGCAAGUCUUGAGUGUGAGAGAGGAUGGUAGAAUUCCUGGUGUAGCGGUGAAAUGCGUAGAUAUCAGGAGGAAUACCAGUGGCGAAGGCGGCCAUCUGGCUCACUACUGACGCUGAGGCACGAAAGCGUGGGGAGCGAACAGGAUUAGAUACCCUAGUAGUC
RNAcentral lists this ribosomal RNA (457 nucleotides) under uncultured bacterium. RNAcentral describes it as "partial 16S ribosomal RNA". It matches the Rfam family "Bacterial small subunit ribosomal RNA", at positions 339 to 795 of the family's 1533-position model. The record is from RNAcentral.